GACGAACGCUGGCGGCGUGCCUAACACAUGCAAGUCGAGCGAGAGGAGUUCUUCGGAACAAAUCUAGCGGCGGACGGGUGAGUAACACGUGGGCAACCUGCCUUAUAGAGGGGAAUAGCCUUCCGAAAGGAAGAUUAAUACCGCAUAACAUUGCAUUUUCGCAUGAAGAAGCAAUUAAAGGAGCAAUCCGCUAUAAGAUGGGCCCGCGGCGCAUUAGCUAGUUGGUGAGGUAACGGCUCACCAAGGCGACGAUGCGUAGCCGACCUGAGAGGGUGAUCGGCCACACUGGAACUGACACACGGUCCAGACUCCUACGGGUGGCUG
Molecule: ribosomal RNA, 324 nt
Filed under: uncultured Bacillota bacterium
Lineage: Bacteria; Bacillati; Bacillota
Description: bacterial SSU rRNA
Rfam family: Bacterial small subunit ribosomal RNA
Source: RNAcentral